GCUUCCAGUGCGUCAGCCCAGCCUCGAGAGUAUCCGGCACCAGUGUGCAGUCCAGAGUAUCCGGCACCAGUGUGCAGUCCAGAGUAUCCGGCACCAGUGUGCAGUCCAGAGUAUCCGGCACCAGUGUGCAGUCCAGAGUAUCCGGCACCAGUGUCUAGUCCGGAACCGAGGGAGUCUGCCUGUGACCCGGAACCGAGGGGGUCUGCCUGUGACUCAGAACCGGAUGGGCGGACCAGAAACCCAGUGUCAUCACUCGGGUCUGUAACUGCCAUUUUCCGCUGGGAAAGAGAAAUGAACCUGUACUUACCAGAAAAGGUAGCUCAUCCACCAUGGCAGAAGAGGCAGACCCAGACUGUUGAUUCGAAAACAAUAACAAAACAUUUGGCAUGAGGAUUGGGUGUUGAGGGACCACUUGUCACAUUGUCCAAGUCCAACAGGAGUGCAUCCCUAAGGCCAUCCAGCGCAUGGACAUCCUGUGUCAGUGUGAUCCGACUGCGAGCGUCCAGUUGUGGAGACUACAGCACAUCGAGCCUGCGGACGGACAGAACGUCAGGCUCACCUCACAAGAAGCAGUGCAUGAUCAACGCCACCCUCAGCGAGGAGAUCUGCUGGAAGUGAUGUACUCUCUCGCUCUCUCUCUCUUAUCGGGGUAAGACAUAACUUAAACAUCACAGGUAUAAAUUCCCACUGUGCCCAUGAUAAAAUGCAAUGUAAACUGUGUUGUACUACUGAAUGAAACUGUGAGGAGAUGCAUUCAGACCAGCCUGUGAUUGAACUAACGUUGGAUAUAUUACUUUAGUUGGCUGCUUUGAGCAAGACUUGAAUGUAAUAUAACAUUUUCUAGGAGCCUAUUGUUUGUGUAUGAUCUUUAUUCAGUGUUUACUUGUUUUUAAACAAUGUCAGGUAGAGGCAGGGAUGACUAGUGUCUUCAGUA
RNAcentral lists this long non-coding RNA (934 nucleotides) under Salmo salar (Atlantic salmon). RNAcentral's name for it is "lncRNA (ENSSSAG00000110558.1)". Lineage: Eukaryota; Metazoa; Chordata; Actinopteri; Salmoniformes; Salmonidae. The record is from RNAcentral.